This 448-nucleotide ribosomal RNA is filed under the name uncultured bacterium. RNAcentral's name for it is "partial 16S ribosomal RNA". It matches the Rfam family "Bacterial small subunit ribosomal RNA", at positions 330 to 793 of the family's 1533-position model. The record is from RNAcentral.
GCCAGACUCCUACGGGAGGCAGCAGUGGGGAAUAUUGGGCAAUGGGCGCAAGCCUGACCCAGCAACGCCGCGUGUAGGAAGAAGGCUUUCGGGUUGUAAACUUCUUUUAAGAGGGAAGAGAAGAAGACGGUACCUCUUGAAUAAGCCACGGCUAACUACGUGCCAGCAGCCGCGGUAAUACGUAGGUGGCAAGCGUUGUCCGGAUUUACUGGGUGUAAAGGGCGUGUAGCCGGGCUGACAAGUCAGAUGUGAAAUCCGGGGGCUCAACCCCCGAACUGCAUUUGAAACUGUUGGUCUUGAGUAUCGGAGAGGCAGGCGGAAUUCCUAGUGUAGCGGUGAAAUGCGUAGAUAUAAGGAAGAACACCAGUGGCGAAGGCGGAUGACUGGACGGCAACUGACGGUGAGGCGCGAAAGCGUGGGGAGCAAACAGGAUUAGAUACCCUAGUAC